RNAcentral lists this ribosomal RNA (460 nucleotides) under uncultured bacterium. Its description in RNAcentral is "bacterial SSU rRNA". It matches the Rfam family "Bacterial small subunit ribosomal RNA", at positions 338 to 795 of the family's 1533-position model. The record is from RNAcentral.
CCUACGGGGGGCUGCAGUGAGGAAUAUUGGGCAAUGGGCGAAAGCCUGACCCAGCCAUGCCGCGUGCAGGAUGACGGCCCUACGGGUUGUAAACUGCUUUUAUACAGGAUGAAAAAAACGGACGUGUCCGGAAUUGACAGUACUGUACGAAUAAGCAUCGGCUAACUCCGUGCCAGCAGCCGCGGUAAUACAGAGGAUGCAAGCGUUAUCCGGAUUUAUUGGGUUUAAAGGGUGCGUAGGCGGGAUAGUAAGUCAGUGGUGAAAUCUUUCGGCUUAACCGGAACACUGCCAUUGAUACUGCUUUUCUUGAGUGUAGUUGAGGUGGGCGGAAUGUGUAAUGUAGCGGUGAAAUGCUUAGAUAUUACACAGAACACCAAUUGCGUAGGCAGCUCACUAAACUAUUACUGACGCUGAGGCACGAAAGCGUGGGUAGCGAACAGGAUUAGAUACCCUGGUAGUC